GUUGAGGGAUGUAGGAAGACGUGAAGGCGGCGGCCAGCCCUCUGACGCCAUCUCACUUGCGAUGGUGCCAUCUCACUCUGAAUCCAUCUCUCUUGCGCCACCUAACCCCGCGCUACGCAGCCCGCGCAGCAGGUGGAGCAGAAGCAGGUGCGCGUGCGGCAGCUGGUGCGGCAGCACACGCACGCCGACGGCAGCAUCACAGAGGAGAUCAUCUCCGAGCAGAUACUGCAGGAAGGAGACGAGGGCUACGAUCAGCUGGGGAAAGAGCCCGUGGUGGUGUCUGAGGACGUACAGAUGACGACCGCCGGCGGGUAGAGGGUACCUCUCGGACCGUGGCGGACCACGGCGGACCGCGUGGACCAGGCGGCGAGCCGGACCGCCGCCCGGCUGAGACCACGUGUGCCGGGAGACGGGUCAGCUGCCGGUGAGGUGUCAGUGACCGUCCUCAGCCUGCGCGGCCGCCCUGCGGCAGCCCGAGAGUAGCCGCGGAUCGUGCGGCACCCGAGUGGAUUGCCGUGAUCUCUGCCAGGCGUGGGCCGACUCGGCUCGCGCUGCUGCCAAAGCGUUUGCGACGGAACUUGGGAACGCGUGACGCCGGGAGCUUACGGCUGGCGGCUGGCUGCACGCUCGGAGGCCAUCGUCAGCGAUCCCAUGAGCGGUGCGUUAGUGUGACGGGCUGCCUCGCCUUGCAGACGCCUUGUGACAUUUCCCAGAGACGAUUUACUGAGGCGCUUUGACGAUGUUGCGUGACUAUGCAAUUCGGAAAACGUUCUCUUAUUUCAUCGUAAUAUGUUUCGUACUUUGAUUGCGUCGGUCUCAAAACGCAAAACGACCGCGAGGUUGGUGGGUUGAGAACCGGCGCGGCUCGCGCUGGUUAUGUUAUCUUUGUCAGAUUAUCUGUUCAUGCGUCUUGCAAUAUGACAGAACAGGGUAUAGGGUACCGGAACACGUGAACGAAAUAUAUCGUCCGCCAU
Pollicipes pollicipes is the source of this 974-nucleotide long non-coding RNA. RefSeq lists it as uncharacterized. Lineage: Eukaryota; Metazoa; Arthropoda; Thecostraca; Pollicipedomorpha; Pollicipedidae. The record is from RefSeq and is a predicted model, not a curated record. The transcript is spliced from 3 exons.